CAGUCUGCAACUCGACUGCAUGAAGUCGGAAUCGCUAGUAAUCGCGGAUCAGCAUGCCGCGGUGAAUACGUUCCCGGGCCUUGUACACACCGCCCGUCACACCAUGAGAGUCGGGAACACCCGAAGUCCGUAGCCUAACCGCAAGGAGGACGCAGUCGAAGGUGGGAUUGAUGACUGGGCGAAGUCGUAACAAGGUAGC
RNAcentral lists this ribosomal RNA (199 nucleotides) under uncultured bacterium. RNAcentral's name for it is "partial 16S ribosomal RNA". It matches the Rfam family "Bacterial small subunit ribosomal RNA", at positions 1301 to 1500 of the family's 1533-position model. The record is from RNAcentral.